RNAcentral lists this ribosomal RNA (389 nucleotides) under uncultured bacterium. RNAcentral's name for it is "bacterial SSU rRNA". It matches the Rfam family "Bacterial small subunit ribosomal RNA", at positions 28 to 417 of the family's 1533-position model. The record is from RNAcentral.
GACGAACGCUGGCGGCGUGCUUAACACAUGCAAGUCGAGCGGUAAGGCCCUUUCGGGGGUACACGAGCGGCGAACGGGUGAGUAACACGUGGGUGACCUGCCUUUAGCUCUGGGAUAAGCCUGGGAAACCGGGUCUAAUACCGGAUAUGACUCCGCGGCGCAUGUUGUGGGGUGGAAAGCCUUGUGCGGCUGGAGAUGGGCCCGCGGCCUAUCAGCUUGUUGGUGGGGUGAUGGCCUACCAAGGCGACGACGGGUAGCCGGCCUGAGAGGGCGACCGGCCACACUGGGACUGAGACACGGCCCAGACUCCUACGGGAGGCAGCAGUGGGGAAUCUUGGACAAUGGGCGCAAGCCCUGAUCCAGCCAUGCCGCGUGAGGGAUGACGGCCU